CGGACGGGUGAGUAAUGUCUGGGAAACUGCCUGAUGGAGGGGGAUAACUACUGGAAACGGUAGCUAAUACCGCAUAACGUCGCAAGACCAAAGAGGGGGACCUUAGGGCCUCUUGCCAUCGGAUGUGCCCAGAUGGGAUUAGCUUGUUGGUGGGGUAACGGCUCACCAAGGCGACGAUCCCUAGCUGGUCUGAGAGGAUGACCAGCCACACUAGAACUGAGACACGGUCCAG
This 232-nucleotide ribosomal RNA is filed under the name uncultured bacterium. RNAcentral describes it as "partial 16S ribosomal RNA". It matches the Rfam family "Bacterial small subunit ribosomal RNA", at positions 99 to 334 of the family's 1533-position model. The record is from RNAcentral.